CCUACGGGAGGCAGCAGUAGGGAAUAUUCCACAAUGGACGAAAGUCUGAUGGAGCAACGCCGCGUGAGUGAAGAAGGGUCUAGGCGCGUAAAGCUCCGUUGGUAGGGAAGAAAGAUAGAGGGAGUAAGUGGCCUUGAAUGGACGGUAAGGACGAAGAAAGGCACGGCUAACUACGUGCCAGCAGCCGCGGUAAUACGUAGGUGGGAAGCGUUGUCCGGAUUUAUUGGGCGUAAAGCGAGUGGAGGCGGUUCAAUAAGUCUGAUGUGAAAGCCUUCGGCUCAACCGGAGAAUUGCAUCCGAAACUGUUGAACUUGAGUGCAGCAGAGGAGAGUGGAACUCCAUGUGUAGCGGUGCAAUGCGUAGAUAUCUGGAAGAACACCAGUGGCGACGGCGGCUCUCUGGUCUGCAACUGACGCUGAGGCUCGAAAGCCUGGGUAGCGAACAGGAUUAGAUACCCCAGUAGUC
This 465-nucleotide ribosomal RNA is filed under the name uncultured bacterium. RNAcentral's name for it is "partial 16S ribosomal RNA". It matches the Rfam family "Bacterial small subunit ribosomal RNA", at positions 338 to 795 of the family's 1533-position model. The record is from RNAcentral.